RNAcentral lists this ribosomal RNA (501 nucleotides) under uncultured bacterium. RNAcentral describes it as "partial 16S ribosomal RNA". It matches the Rfam family "Bacterial small subunit ribosomal RNA", at positions 28 to 523 of the family's 1533-position model. The record is from RNAcentral.
GGUGAACGCUGGCGGCAGGCUUAACACAUGCAAGUCGAGCGGAGAUGAGGUGCUUGCACCUUAUCUUAGCGGCGGACGGGUGAGUAAUGCUUAGGAAUCUGCCAUUUAGUGGGGGACAACAUUCCGAAAGGAAUGCUAAUACCGCAUACGUCCUACGGGAGAAAGCAGGGGAUCUUCGGACCUUGCGCUAAAUGAUGAGCCUAAGUCGGAUUAGCUAGUUGGUGGGGUAAAGGCCUACCAAGGCGACGAUCUGUAGCGGGUCUGAGAGGAUGAUCCGCCACACUGGGACUGAGACACGGCCCAGACUCCUACGGGAGGCAGCAGUGGGGAAUAUUGGACAAUGGGCGGAAGCCUGAUCCAGCCAUGCCGCGUGUGUGAAGAAGGCCUUUUGGUUGUAAAGCACUUUAAGCGAGGAGGAGGCUACCUGGAUUAAUACUCUAGGAUAGUGGACGUUACUCGCAGAAUAAGCACCGGCUAACUCUGUGCCAGCAGCCGCAGUAA